UGUGCUUCAACAGCGAGGAGAGGUUCUCGC
Molecule: small RNA, 30 nt
Filed under: Bombyx mori (domestic silkworm)
Lineage: Eukaryota; Metazoa; Arthropoda; Insecta; Lepidoptera; Bombycidae
Description: ovarian small RNA-35913
Source: RNAcentral